CAAAGAUAAGUGACCCACUCAUAAUGAUGUUGAAUAAAUGAGUAUUUUCAUAAUGGUUACUUCACAACAAUAUUUUGCUAUGGGUACAACUAAGGGAGCUGAAGCAAAGAGAAAUUAAUGAGAAACAGCUGGAUUAGGAAAUUCACUGAAGAAGAAACAUGAAUAAAAUUAAAUCUAAUGAUUGAGGAAAUGCAAUGAUACCAUAUUGGGUGGUACUAGACUGGCAAAAAUUAAAAGAGACUGCUAGUAUCCAUUUUGAGUGAGGGUAUGGAGGUUCCCAGGUUAGGGGUUGAAUCAGAGCUACAACUGUGACCUACACCACAGCCACAGCAACGCCAAAUCCAAGCCACUUCAGUGACCUACACCACAGCUCAGAGCAAUUUUAGUCUUAUCUUUCAUUGUUUAAAAUAUUUGUCUCUUUGACCUUGUAAAUUCACUGACAUAAAUCUUUCCAAGAGAAAUCUUCCCCUUUAAGCUUGAAGUGCACAAGCAUGUUAACUGAAGCACUGUUUCUAACAGGAAAAAAAAGAAAAAAGAAAAAAAUCUGCUAAUAAUCAAUGACUGGUGUCCAUUUAUAGAGAGAAAUGGAUAAAUUACAGUAUGCUCACACUAUAAAAUACUAUAUGACCCUUUAUAAGAACGAACCCUAAUGUUGAAAAUGUACACAGCAUGUCAAAAGGAAGCAGAAUAAUACGUAAAACUUAUUUAUUAUGUGUAUAUGUAUACUUACAUAGAAAAGGAUCCGUAAUUAUAUAUUCUAAACUGUUCAUAUUGGUCAUCUUUGAGGUGAAUGGGAUUGGUGUCUUAAUUUUCACUCUGUACCACUUUUCUAUACAGUUCUAAGUUUUUACAGGAGCACAUGUUUUAAUUAAUUUAAAAUUGAACCAAAAGAGGCAGUUUAGUAUUUUUCUUUGCACUUGAGGAUUACUGUAGUGAUACAUGGAAAAGUCCAUAUAAAGUUGCAAUUCUGGAGUUCUCUUGUGGUGCAGUCAGUUAAGGAUCUGGGGUUGUCACUACUGCAGCAGCUUGUGUUGCUGCUGAGGCACAGGUUUGAUCCCUGGCCCAGUAAUAUUUACAUGCUGCAGGUGCAGCCAAAAAAAGAAAAGAAAAGAAAAAGAAUUUGACUUUAAAAAAAAAAAAAAGAAAAACCUUUCAAUUCCAAUAUAUCUCAUUUGAGGUGGCCGACUAAGUUUUGGGAUUUUUUUCAUCUUGAUGUUUAUUUUGAGCUUUUUAAAAUUAUAGUUCUGAAUUGCACAUGAUGCAUGACGACCCAGCUUCACACGAGCUUCAUUCAAACUCUAGAGGGGCAACAGGCAACUUCUCUCAAUACUAGACAUCUUAGAAAAAUAAAAUAAAUCUUGGAAAACAAGGCUCCUCUUUUCUUAAUGUGCUAUUCAGAAUAUACAGUAGGAACCUAGGAAUACUUUUUGGAAUAAAAUAAAUACAACAAAAACUAUGUGAAUAUAGAAUUUUUGCAUGCGUUUAGAAGAGAUGAGAAAACUACCUUGGGGUGGAUGAGAUGAGAAGCAGACAGGUAGUCUUGAGCAGUUAGUACACAAAAAGCAGCCACAGACAGUUCUUGAGUUGGGAGUCAAAACAAAGUGCCUCAUGUAAAACAUUAUUUUCUCAGAGUAUUUAGGUACUAAUUAGUAAAUUGCUGAAAUAAACCAAAAGGCCCUAUACAAUAAAUAACUGCCAGAAAACAUAAUUGAAAACAAACAAUCCAGCUGCAUAAACAGCCACUGGGUCCCUAGAUGAUAUCACACAGACAUUCUCCCAGGGAGAGUAAAGUUAGAUAUUAGUGAAAGGUGAAAAUAUUUAAAUAGGCUGAAGUUUGGGGAGUGGCUAUAAGAGCUUUAUCUUCUCUCAGGGUCUUCAGCAUUCUGACUGUGUUGUGAUAUAAAAAUGUACCAAAAAAGAAUCAAACAUUUAUCAAAUCUCUUAGCUCCAAUGGGUCCUUUGGAGGUAAAAAACUGUACAAAUAACAACCAUCAGCAUUUUUUUUUUCCUUUCACACUCUCCUUGAACACAAAAGUGAAGCCAUUUUUCAAGGAUGGUUUUUAAUUUCAUUGUUCCUUGCUUAUGUUUCACAAUGUUUUUAUAGUAACUCAACGUGAAAUAAUAGAAAAAAUAUAUAGAAAAUAUAUAUAAAUAUAAGGAAAUAUAUAUAAAUAUAUAGGAAAUAUAUAUUU
RNAcentral lists this long non-coding RNA (2192 nucleotides) under Sus scrofa (pig). Its description in RNAcentral is "lncRNA (ENSSSCG00050000381.1)". Lineage: Eukaryota; Metazoa; Chordata; Mammalia; Artiodactyla; Suidae. The record is from RNAcentral.